UGGGGAAUAUUGCACAAUGGGCGCAAGCUUGAUGCAGCCAUGCCGCGUGUGUGAAGAAGGCCUUCGGGUUGUAAAGCACUUUCAGCGGGGAGGAAGGCGAUAAGGUUAAUAACCUCAUCGAUUGACGUUACCCGCAGAAGAAGCACCGGCUAACUCCGUGCCAGCAGCCGCGGUAAUACGGAGGGUGCAAGCGUUAAUCGGAAUUACUGGGCGUAAAGCGCACGCAGGCGGUCUGUCAAGUCGGAUGUGAAAUCCCCGGGCUCAACCUGGGAACUGCAUUCGAAACUGGCAGGCUAGAGGCUUGUAGAGGGGGGUAGAAUUCCAGGUGUAGCGGUGAAAUGCGUAGAGAUCUGGAAGAAUACCGGUGGCGAAUGCGGCCCCCUGGACAAAGACUGACGCUCAGGUGCGAAAGCGUGGGGAGCAAACAGG
This 429-nucleotide ribosomal RNA is filed under the name Chloroflexota bacterium. RNAcentral describes it as "Chloroflexi bacterium partial 16S ribosomal RNA". It matches the Rfam family "Bacterial small subunit ribosomal RNA", at positions 355 to 776 of the family's 1533-position model. The record is from RNAcentral. Lineage: Bacteria; Bacillati; Chloroflexota.